UACGGAGGGUGCGAGCGUUGUCCGGAAUCACUGGGCGUAAAGGGCGCGUAGGCGGCUGGGGAAGUCGGCGGUGAAAGCCCGGAGCUCAACUCCGGGUCGGCCGUCGAGACUCCUCGGCUCGAGCUCACUAGAGGCAGAUGGAAUUCCGGGUGUAGCGGUGGAAUGCGUAGAGAUCCGGAAGAACACCGGUGGCGAAGGCGGCCUGCUGGGCAGUAGCUGACACUGAGGCGCGACAGCGUGGGGAGCAAACAGG
This 253-nucleotide ribosomal RNA is filed under the name uncultured bacterium. RNAcentral's name for it is "partial 16S ribosomal RNA". It matches the Rfam family "Bacterial small subunit ribosomal RNA", at positions 524 to 776 of the family's 1533-position model. The record is from RNAcentral.